RNAcentral lists this ribosomal RNA (253 nucleotides) under uncultured bacterium. RNAcentral's name for it is "partial 16S ribosomal RNA". It matches the Rfam family "Bacterial small subunit ribosomal RNA", at positions 524 to 776 of the family's 1533-position model. The record is from RNAcentral.
UACAGAGGUCCCAAGCGUUGUUCGGAGUUACUGGGCGUAAAGAGUGCGUAGGUGGUGCCCUAAGUCUGUUGUGAAAUCUCCCGGCUUAACUGGGAGGGUGCGGUGGAAACUGGGGUGCUUGAGUGUGGGAGAGGUAAGCGGAAUUCCUGGUGUAGCGGUGAAAUGCGUAGAUAUCAGGAGGAACACCGGUGGUGUAGACGGCUUACUGGACCACGACUGACACUGAGGCACGAAAGCGUGGGUAGCAAACAGG